Molecule: long non-coding RNA, 407 nt
Organism: Micropterus dolomieu (smallmouth bass)
Lineage: Eukaryota; Metazoa; Chordata; Actinopteri; Centrarchiformes; Centrarchidae
Exons: 3
Source: RefSeq, a predicted model, not a curated record
AUUAACUCCAUUCCACGUUUUAGCUACAGCCUUGACUUCAACGCUACUGCUUCCUCAAAUCCAUUCCACUUUGCUCAUUCAGAGUCCAUAUAAAUGAAACUUAAUUCCGUGUUUUGACUGUUCGCUCCAGCUGCACUCAACCAAGAUGGCGACUGUGAGAAGUGUCUAACGUUCCACUCUCAACUUUUUGACUGCUCCAUCCAGUUUGCGAUGCUGUUCUUGUAGGGUCGCCCCUGGGAAAGACAAACAAGAGCAAGUGGAGUUCUGACGAUGAACUUUGUGGCUCUGACAUGAAGUGAAGUAAAGUACAGUAGAGGCUGUAAGAUGUUCCAACUUAAUUGGCUCUUUCAAGAUGGAGCGACUUGCCGGCCGACUGUCGCAGGAAAUCUCCAGGGAAAAAUAAACGA